UAUAUAAAUAAACAGGUAUGUGUAACUAUCCACGUUAAAACAUUUUCAACUUAGGGGUGUUUAAAUAGCAAUUUGAGUUAGCAAUAUCGGUCCCUACCAAGUCCAUGAACAAAUAAAAGCCCAAAUCUAAAACGGCCCGAAUACAAAAAGCUUUUGUGUCUUUCUUGUUGCCCUUUCUUCUCCACACUGUUCCACUUCCACUUUUUUGUUUUUUUCAUACUUCAGUCCUUCCUUGAUUCUUCAAUGGAAGUUUUUUUUUUUUUUUUUUUUUUUUGUGGUUUAAUGUUCUUGCACAAUUCAAAAUGUGUUGAAUAAUUUUUCAUUGGCUUUUGACCUGUCAUUGCCUUUUUACCUAACCAUAGCCGUCGCCACCGCCACCUACAUUUUUCGUCAUGCACACACACGUGUGUGUAUGUGUGUGGUUGUCUGUAAAGGCUUUUGAUGAACGCCAUUGUGUUAAAACUGCAUGAUUUAUUCCUAAGAUAUGGGAUCUGAGGGCAUUUUCACGCUUUUACCUCAGUUCACCGAUUUUCUUUAUCAUAGAGCAAGCAUUGGCUGUAAAUGCUAUCCUUCAUGUCGUAUUGAGGUUAUGUAGUAGUUCGUUCACCCAUUUUGAGGUAAUCCAUGCUUGCUCACCUGUGUGUUGCCAGGAUGUUUUGGGUCUUGUCUGCACUAUUUUGUCUUUGUAUAUUAAAGCUUGAAACUUCCUUCAGUAAUGUUAGAUCAAUGGAAGCACUUUAUUUCUCAUUCAACUGAUUAAGUUGAUAGUGUCAUUUUAAUUAUAUUUUGUAAUGUACUAAUAGUUACAAGUCUCUUUAGUAUCAAUCAUAUUAUUUUCAUGAGCAAAUCUGUCUUCCACUUUUUUUCAUUAUCAUAACCUUUGGUCGUCAAUGACGAAUGCCCAGGUCGAUAUUUUUUGUCAUAAUUGAGUGUCAUUGUUAUAUUUCUUGUGAUCGCGCAAUGAUGAACGCUCGUUUUGAGAUAUGGUACUUUGAAUAUUGUUCAAAGCCUUUCCAUCUUUUCUGCUUUUCUUCCUACUGCCGUCACCUACUCUGCUACUGCUUCUCUUCUUUCUCUUCAUUCCCUUUGUUGUUGAUGCUGCUGCUGUUGUUAUUACUAUUAUUAUUAUUAUUAUUAUUAUUAUUAUUUAUUAGUAUUAUUGCUGGCGGCAAGUAGAGAUGACGGAGGUUGUGGGGUUUUAGUGCCAAGAUGGAUGUUGAAAGGCUUUUAUGGAUGUUGAAAAAGUAGUACCAAUUGGAGUUAUCUGAGUGCGCAAUACUA
Molecule: long non-coding RNA, 1281 nt
Organism: Vigna radiata var. radiata (mung bean)
Lineage: Eukaryota; Viridiplantae; Streptophyta; Magnoliopsida; Fabales; Fabaceae
Exons: 2
Source: RefSeq, a predicted model, not a curated record